UACGUAGGUGACAAGCGUUAUCCGGAAUUACUGGGCGUAAAGCGCACGCAGGCGGUGUGGUAAGUCUGAUGUGAAAUCUCCUGGCUUAACUGGGAGGGGUCAUUGGAAACUGCCGUACUUGAGGCGAUGAGAGGGGUGUAGAAUUCCCGGUGUAGUGGUGGAAUGCGUAGAUAUCGGGAGGAAUACCAGUGGCGAAAGCGACACCCUGGCAUUAGCCUGACGCUCAUGUGCGAAGGCGUGGGGAGCGAACGGG
This 253-nucleotide ribosomal RNA is filed under the name uncultured bacterium. RNAcentral's name for it is "partial 16S ribosomal RNA". It matches the Rfam family "Bacterial small subunit ribosomal RNA", at positions 524 to 776 of the family's 1533-position model. The record is from RNAcentral.